UAAAGUUUAAUGGAGCAAAUUAGGAAAGGCCAGAGGUUGAUACUCUUCCCCUUACCCUUUCAAGGCCAUAUAAACCCUAUGCUUGAGCUAGCUAAUGUUCUACACUUCAGGGGCUUCUCCAUAACCAUCAUUCACACCAACUUCAACUCUCUCAACCCUUCAACCCAUCCUCACUUCACCUUCCACUCGAUCCCUGAUGGCCUAUCCGAAACUGAGACCUCCACAAAAGAUCCCGUCCUACUUAUUUCUUGUCUAAAUGCACACUGUUGUGAUCCUUUCCGGAACUGCCUGGCUAACUUGUUAUCUGAUGAUGGUUCAGAGGAGCCUAUUGCUUGUUUAAUCACUGACGCUCUCUUUUAUUUCACUAAAUCUGUUGCUAAGAGCCUCAAGCUUCCAAGGAUGCUGCUAAGAACAGGAAGUGCCACAUCGACUAUUGUUUAUGCCGUAUUUCCACUUCUAUGGGAAAAGGGUUACCUCCCAAAACAAGGUUAGUUUCUCUGAAAACACCUAGUUGCCUACUAAUGCCUCAGGUUUAUAUUCCUAAAUCCUCUACUAAUUAGGUCAUGUAUUUUCCAACUAUGCUCAAACUUAGACUGCUAUCUUUUUACUGUUUUGUUAGAAUCUCAACUAGAAGAGCCAGUGGUAGACCUGUCACCACUCAAAGUGAAAGACCUUCCAAUGAUGAACUCUUGUGACCCACAGGGAUAUUAUCAACUACUGAUUCAAAUGGUAAAGGAAAUCAAAACCGCAGAUGGAAUUAUUUUCAAUACUUUUGAAGAUCUUGAAGAACAAGCACUGGCUACAUUUCGACAAGAAUUUCCCAUCCCAGUUUUUCCAAUAGGUCCAUUUCACAAAUGGUUCUCAACCUCCUAUUCAAGUAGCUUAUUAUCAGAGGAUGAAAGUUGCAUUUCGUGGCUAAAUACUCAAGCACCAAAGUCUGUUGUCUAUGUUAGCUUUGGGAGCACUGCUGCAGUAAAUGAAGCUCAAUUUUUGGAAAUAGCUUGGGGAUUAGCCAACACCAAUCAGGCGUUCUUGUGGGUGGUUCGACCUGGAUUAAUCCAAGGCUCUGAAUGGCUAGAAAAAUUACCUCAAGGGUACCUGGAGGCUUUAGAUGGGAAGGGUCACAUUGUGAAAUGGGCACCACAGAAAAAGGUGCUGGCUCAUCCAGCUGUGGGACUAUUCUGGACUCACAAUGGGUGGAAUUCAACAUUGGAGAGUAUUUCUGAGGGGGUGCCUAUGGUUUGUAUGCCACAUUUCGCCGAUCAAAUGGUAAAUGCAAGAUAUGUAAGUGAUGUUUGGAGAGUAGGGUUGCAGUUAGAGAAUGGGAUCAAGAGAGACGAAAUUGAAAAAACAAUUCAAAAACUGAUGGCAGAGAAAGAAGGGGAAGAGAUCAAAGACGAAAUGUCAAUGCUUAAGGAGAAGACAAAUCUUUCACUCAGAGAAGGUGGCUCUUCAUACCAAUCCUUGGAUGGCUUGGUUAACCAUAUUCUAUCAUUAUAGUCACUGGACGUUGAUCAAAAUGUAUCAUAUUUUCAUCACUAUCAAGUCCCUGAUUGAUCAAAAUGUGUCUGUACUCUGUAGCAUAUCAUCUAUAGGCCAAACAGAAAAAACAGUACAUCAGACUGAGUUUAGAUCACGCAAGUAUUUAUCUGUAGUUCUAUCAAGUUUAGAUCUACGCAAGUAUUUAUAAAAAGACUCCGUUCCUUGUAUUCAGUAUUAUUGGUUUUGUACAAUUCCAGAACAGAACUAAAAGGCUCUUCUCUCUCUUUAUUCGUUUUUCUCUCAUAAUUAUAUAGCCUUUCACUCUUAUGCACUAUAUAUAUAUAUGAUCAAUUUCAGUUUACAUCCCUGAGGUUUAGGGUUAACAUUAUUUCACUCCUCAUAUUUAUAAUUUAAAAAAUUUACCACCUGAAAUUUUCAAUUUUUAUAAAUCAUGCCCAAUUGUUGAAAUUCUGUUUAAUUCAGACGUUAAUUUUGACUUCAUAACUCAUUAAAAAGGCUAAUAUAGUCUUAUAAUAACAUAAAUCUCCUCUUAGAAUUUUUUUUCUACUAUCUCAUGCUAUCAUUUAAUCACUUAACCUUCAAAUUGGACGAAAUUUUAGGAAUUAUGUAUGAUUUAUGAAAAUUGAAGACUUUAAGGGGUAAAUUUUUAAAAUUAAAAAUAUGGAGAGUGAAACGAUGUUAACCCUAAACCUCGGAGAGUAAAUUGAAAUUAAUCCUAAUAUAUACUCCACAUAAUUACAUAUUUCAGAAAAUUUUAUAUGAAAGUGAAAUGUGUAUUUUAAUCUAAUAAUGGGUUCAUUAUUAGAAGAUAAUCAACAGAAACAAUAAGAAUAAUACAGUCAUGAGUCAUUUCAGUGUCUAUUUCAGUGUCUAUGUUUUAUUCAAUGCACCUGCAAAUUAAGGGUCUACAUCUAGCAAACAAGUGGCAAAUAAAUUAAGACUAUGAGAGCUUGUAGUCAAAAAAAGGAUUAUGAUCCUCUCUUUGGCUGGCAGUUGUCUUUGGUUAUCCUUAACUUUGAAUCUCAUUCGUCCAUUUAAAAUCCUAAGGUUUAAAACCAUGACAGCUCAGCAAGUUCCCACUAAAACUCAUUAAAUGAGACAUUUUAAUUACAAACGUCGUUUCUAUGUCGACGGAGACGUUAAAAUGAUUGAGUUCUCUUUCUCUUCCUUUACUUCUCCGCCUUCAGCCGUCUUCUAGUUCUUACUCACCUUCUUGUCAUCUCUUCCUUUGUUCCUGGGGGAUAUUUAUUUUCAAAUCAGGAUUCGCACUAAAGCUCAAAUCGGAAAAGACCCACCAAGAAUUGUAAUCCAAUUUGGGAUGCAGUUGAAAGGUUUUGUUGAUAACCGUAGGUGUAAACCAGAAAUAACAAGAACAGCAGCUGAAAAGCCCGACCAAGAUUUGUUGAUUCAUUCCUUUCGAUUGGGUUUUAAAUUUGGUUUUUUUUUUUAUUUCGAAUGGGCGGCGCUGAAAGUGGCGACCUGGGUCGCGGCUUCUCUGUUUUCAACCCGGUCGGAUGAACUGUUGCCGACGAGGUCGUUGGAAGUGGGUUUGUGGUUGAUUCGGACUUGGAGUUGGUUUCGCUGAAGCUUUUGAUGACAACUUUGCUUCGGGAGCGGCGGCGGGCCGGCCACCAGAGACGGGAGCAGAGGCGGAGCAGGCGGGGAAAAUGGCUUUGGGUCAGAAAUUUGUUUUGGGUUGUGGGUUUGUUGGAGAAGGAGAAAAAAGAUGGAGUCUUUGAAAAUGAAGAAGACUCUGAGGAGUUGGGUUUGGCAUGAAUUUGUUGAAGGAAAUUGCAGGUGCUGGGUUUCUUGCACUCAGAUGAAUGUUGGGGGAGACGUUAAACUGUUGAAGGAGAGAUGAAAUAGAUAGAGAUGUAACAGCGUUAAGCAUUGAUAUAUGUGGAGUAUUAAAAGUACUGUAUUUAUUAUAGAGUUUGCUGAUGUGGGGUUUUAUUAGCCUUUAGAUUUUUCAUCAACGGUUGAUAAUAAAAGCUAAGGAUAAACAAAGGCACCUACCAACCAAUGAGAGGAUCCUAAUCCAAAAUAGAAAGAAAAGAAAUUAAGACAAUGAGAGACGUAACAAAUUAAACUUCAAACAUACAAUUUUGUGGAUCAAAACUGAUGACUAUCAGUGACCAGUCCAUCAAUAGAGAGAGAGAGAGUUGAUUAGAUGGUCAUUGACGGUGAUAACCAGCAAAACUGGAUCCACAAAAUUGUCAAUAGGUUAUAGCGCUAUGUUCAUUAAUAUAUAGAUAUGUAAAGAAAGAAUCAAAGAAACAACACUGGAACAAUUUAGACAUCAGGAGUAGGGAGCAAAGGGGACUCAAACCAGAGCCAAACAAUUUAGACUCCAUUUCGCUCUAAAGUUUAAUGGAGCAAAUUAGGAAAGGCAAGAGGUUGAUACUCUUCCCAUUACCCCUUCAAGGCCGUAUAAACCCUAUGCUUGAGCUAGCUAAUGUUCUACACUUCAGAGGCUUCUCCAUAACCAUCCUCCACACCAACUUCAACUCUCUCAACCCUUCAAACCAUCCUCACUUUACCUUCCACUCGAUCCCUGAUGGCCUAUCCGAAACUGAGACCUCCACAAAAAGUCACAUGCUCCUUGUUUCUUGUCUAAACGCAAACUGUCAUGAUCCUUUCCGAAACUGCCUAGCUAACUUGUUAUCCGAUGAUGGUUCAGAGGAGCCUAUUGCUUGCUUAAUCACUGACCCUCUCUUUGACUUCACUCGAUCUGUCGCUAAGAGCCUUAAGCUUCCAAGGAUGCUGCUAAGAACAGGAAGUGCCACAUCGACUACUGUUUUUGCCGCAUUUCCACUUCUAUGGGAAAAGGGUUACCUCCCCAAACAAGGUAAGUUCUUCUGAAAACACCUAGUUGCCUGGUGGCUAAGAUUUAUAAGCCUAGGUGUUUACUGCUUGAUGGGUCAUGUAUUUUUCAAUUAUCCUCAUACUUAGACAUCUAUGGUUUCACUGCUUUGUUAGAAUCUCAACUAGAAGAGCCAGUAGUAGAGUUGCCACCACUCAAAGUCAAGGACCUUCCAAUGAAUUCUGGUGACCCAAAGAUAUUUUAUCAACUAGUAACUGAACUGGCAAAUGAGGUCAAGACUUCAGAUGGAGUUAUUUUCAAUACUUCUGAAGAUCUUGAAGAACAAGAAUCCGACAAGACUUUCCCAUCCCAAUUUUCCCAAUAGGUCCAUUUCACAAAUGGUUCCCAACCUCCUAUUCAAGUAGCUUAUUAUCAGAGGAUGAAAGUUGCAUUUCGUGGCUAAAUACUCAAGCACCAAAGUCUGUUGUCUAUGUUAGCUUUGGGAGCACUGCUGCAGUAAAUGAAGCUCAAUUUUUGGAAAUAGCUUGGGGAUUAGCCAACACCAAUCAGCCUUUCUUGUGGGUGGUUCGACCUGGAUUACUCCAACGCUCUGAAUGGCUAGAAAAAUUACCUCAAGGGUACCUGGAGGCUUUAGAUGGGAAGGGUCACAUUGUGAAAUGGGCACCACAGAAAAAGGUGCUGGCUCAUCCAGCUGUGGGACUAUUCUGGACUCACAAUGGGUGGAAUUCAACAUUGGAGAGUAUUUCUGAGGGGGUGCCUAUGGUCUGUAUGCCAAUUUUUGCCGAUCAAAUGUUAAAUGCAAGAUAUGUCAGUGAUGUUUGGAGAGUAGGGUUGCAGUUAGAGAAUGGGAUCAAGAGAGACGAAAUUGAAAAAACAAUUCGAAAACUGAUGACAGAGAAAGAAGGGGAAGAGAUCAAAGACAAAAUGUCAAAGCUUAAGGAGAAGACAAAUCUUUCACUCAGAGAAGGUGGCUCUUCAUACCAAUCCUUGGAUGGCUUGGUUAACCAUAUUCUAUCAUUAUAGUCACUGGACGUUGAUCAAAAUGUAUCAUAUUUUCAUCACUAUCAAGUCACUGAUUGAUCAAAAUGUGUCUGUACUCUGUAGCAUAUCAUCUAUAGGCCAAACAGACAAAUCAGUACAUCAGACUGAGUUUAGAUCACGCAAGUAUUUAUAUGUAGUUCUAUCAAGUUUAGAUCUACGCAAGUAUUUAUAAGAAGACUCCGUUCCUUGUAUUCAGUAUUAUUGGUUUUGUACAAUUCCAGAACAGAACUAGAAGGCUCUUCUCUCAUAAUUAUACAGGCUUUCACUCUUAUGCACUACUUAUAAUAUAUAGGAUUAAUUUCAGUUUACACCCCUGAGGUUUAGGGUUAACAUCAUUUCACUUCUCAUACUUAUAAUUUUGAAAAUUUACACCCUAAAGUUUUCAAUUUUCAUAAAUCAUGUCCAAUUGCUGAAAUUUUGUCUAAUUCAGACUUUAAUUUUGACUUCAUAACUCACUAAAAAGGCUAAAAUAGUCUUAUAACAACAUAAAUCGCUUUUUAGGACUUUUUUCCUACGAUUUCAUGCUAUCAUUUAACCUCCAAAUUGGACGAAAUUUUAGCAAUUGUGUUUUGACUUUAUGUAAAAAUUGGAGACUUUAAGGGGUAAAUUUUUAAAAUUAAAAGUAUGAGGAGUGAAACGAUGUUUAACCCUAAAUUUUGAAAAUUUACACCCUAAAGUUUUCAAUUUUCAUAAAUCAUGCCCAAUUGCUGAAUUUCUGUCUAAUUCAGACGUUAAUUUUGAUUUCAUAACUCACUAAAAAGGCUAAAAUAGUCUUAUAACAACAUAAAUCGCUUUUUAUUAUUUUUUUCCUACGAUCUCAUGCUAUCAUUUAACUUCCAAAUUGGACGAAAUUUUAGCAAUUGUGUCUGAUUUAUGAAAAUUGGAGACUUUAGGGGUAAAUUUUUACAAUUAAAAAUACGGGGAGUGAAACGAUGUUAACUUUAAACCUCAGGGGGUAAAUUGAAAUUAAUCCUAAUAUAUACUCCACAUAAUUACAUAUUUCAGAAAAUUUUAUAUGAAAGUGAAAUGUGUAUUUUAAUCUAAAAUGGGUUCAUUAUUAGAAGAUAAUCAACAGAAACAGUAAGAAUAAUACAGUCAUGAGUCAUUUCAGUGUCUAUGUUUUAUUCAAUGCACCUGCAAAUUAAGGGUCUACAUCUAGCAAACAAGUGGCAAAUAAAUUAAGACUAUGAGAGCUUGUAGUCAAAAAAAGAAAUAAAAGAAAUUAAGACUACGAGAGACGUGACAAAUUAAAGUUCAAACAUACAAUGUUGUCAAUAGGUUAUAGUGCUAUGUUCAUUAAUAUAUAGAUAUGUAAAGAAAGAAACAACACUGGAACAAUAUAUUUAGACUCCAGGAGUAGGGAGCAAAGGGGACUCAAACCAGAGCCAAGCAAGUUAGACUCCAUUCGCUCUAAAUUUUAAUGGAGCAAAUUAGGAAAGGCCAGAGGUUAAUACUCUUCCCGUUACCCUUUCAAGGCCAUAUAAACCCUAUGCUUGAGCUAGCUAAUGUUCUACACUUCAGAGGCUUCUCCAUAACCAUCCUCCACACCAACUUCAACUCUCUCAACCCUUCAAACCAUCCUCACUUCACCUUCCACUCGAUCCCUGAUGGCCUAUCCGAAACUGAGACCUCCACAAAAAGUCCCAUGCUCCUUGUUUCUUGUCUAAACAGACGCUGUCAUGAUCCUUUCCGAAACUGUCUAGCUAACUUGUUAUCCGAUGACGGUUCAGAGGAGCCUAUUGCUUGCUUAAUCACUGACCCUCUCUUUAACUUCACUCAAUCUGUCGCUAAGAGUUUUAAGCUUCCAAGGAUGCUGCUAAGAACAGGAAGUGUCACAUCGACUAUUGUUUAUGCCGCAUUUCCACUUCUAUGGGAAAAGGGUUACCUCCCGAAACAAGGUAAGUUCUUCUGAAAACACCUAGUUGCCUAAUGGCUAAGAUUUAUAAGCCUAGGUGUUUACUGCUUGAUGGGUCAUGUGUUUUUCAAUUAUCCUCAUACUUAGACAUCUAUGGUUUCACUGCUUUGUUAGAAUCUCAACUAGAAGAGCCAGUAGUAGAGUUGCCACCACUCAAAGUCAAGGACCUUCCAACGAACUCUUGUGACCCAAAGAUAUUUUUGCAACUAAUAACUGAAUGGGGAAAUGUAAUCAAGACUUCAGAUGGAGUAAUUUUCAAUACUUCUGAAGAUCUUGAAGAACAAGCACUGCUUACAAUCCGACCAGACUUUCCCAU
This 7599-nucleotide long non-coding RNA is filed under the name Fragaria vesca (wild strawberry). Its description in RNAcentral is "long non-coding RNA (FVES_LNC003824)". The record is from RNAcentral. Lineage: Eukaryota; Viridiplantae; Streptophyta; Magnoliopsida; Rosales; Rosaceae.